Molecule: ribosomal RNA, 253 nt
Filed under: uncultured prokaryote
Description: partial 16S ribosomal RNA
Rfam family: Bacterial small subunit ribosomal RNA
Source: RNAcentral
ACGGAGAGGGCUAGCGUUGUUCGGAAUUACUGGGCGUAAAGCGCACGUAGGCGGCUUUGCAAGUCAGAGGUGAAAGCCCAGGGCUCAACCCUGGAAGUGCACUCGAAACUGGACGGCUUGAAUAUGGAAGAGGGUCGCGGAAUUCCCGGUGUAGAGGUGAAAUUCGUAGAUAUCGGGAGGAACACCAGUGGCGAAGGCGGCGACCUGGGCCAAUAUUGACGCUGAGGUGCGAAAGCGUGGGGAGCAAACAGGA